CACGGAGGGCGCAAGCGUUGUUCGGAAUCACUGGGCGUAAAGCGCGCGUAGGCGGUUAGAUAAGUCGCUUGUGAAAGCCCGGGGCUCAACUCCGGGACGCCAGGCGAUACUGUUUGACUAGAGCACGGUAGAGGCAAGCGGAAUUCCCGGUGUAGCGGUGGAAUGCGUAGAUAUCGGGAAGAACACCAGUGGCGAAGGCGGCUUGCUGGGCCGUUGCUGACGCUGAGGUGCGAAAGCGUGGGGAGCAAACAGG
RNAcentral lists this unclassified non-coding RNA (253 nucleotides) under uncultured Gemmatimonadaceae bacterium. RNAcentral's name for it is "contains 16S-23S intergenic spacer region". It matches the Rfam family "Bacterial small subunit ribosomal RNA", at positions 524 to 776 of the family's 1533-position model. The record is from RNAcentral. Lineage: Bacteria; Pseudomonadati; Gemmatimonadota; Gemmatimonadia; Gemmatimonadales; Gemmatimonadaceae.